Molecule: transfer RNA, 85 nt
Filed under: Felis catus (domestic cat)
Lineage: Eukaryota; Metazoa; Chordata; Mammalia; Carnivora; Felidae
Rfam family: tRNA
About the family: Transfer RNA (tRNA) molecules are approximately 80 nucleotides in length. Their secondary structure includes four short double-helical elements and three loops (D, anti-codon, and T loops).
Source: Rfam by way of RNAcentral
ACCUGGGUGGCUCAGUCGGUUGAGCAUCUGACUUCAGCUCAGGUAGUGAUCUCACGGUCCGUGGGUUCGAGCCCCAUGUUGGGCU